CCCUGAUUUGCAUAGUUUCAAAGACCUAGAGACAUGCCUGUUGGCUUGGUGACAUGUAAAGAGAGAAAUCACAUAGCCUUACUUUAGGUUAGGACUACACAUAGCCUUACUUUAGGUUAGGACUAAAAAAAAUCAAGUUCUAUGCUGCUAGGCUAGCCAGACCUAAAAGUAGGUUGCUACUUUAGUGGUUGAAGGUCCAUGGCACCCUCAACAGGAGUGAAUUUUAACUCAUUAAUGGGUAGUGAGCACAUGGAAAUUUUAAGCUCUGCCCUAGGUUCUCCCUCCAAAUUGCUGCCAUCAUCUUUUCUCCAGCUCCAAGAGUGUACCAGGAGUUCAUCACCGGAG
This is a non-coding RNA of Pelobates cultripes (western spadefoot toad), 345 nucleotides long. The record is from the annotation of a GenBank genome assembly. NCBI's taxonomy places the organism in Eukaryota, Metazoa, Chordata, Amphibia, Anura, Pelobatidae.